CNUGCAAGUCGAACGAGCUCUCCCAAAUUGAUUUUAUGCUUGCAUAAAUGAUUUUUGGAUUCGGAGCGAGUGGCGAACUGGUGAGUAACACGUGGGUAACCUGCCCCAAAGCGGGGGAUAACAUUUGGAAACAAGUGCUAAUACCGCAUAAUUAGUUGGAACCGCAUGGUUCCAACUUGAAAGAUGGCUCUGCUAUCACUUUGGGAUGGACCCGCGCCGUAUUAGUUAGUUGGUGAGAUAAAAGCCCACCAAGACGAUGAUACGUAGCCGACCUGAGAGGGUAAUCGGCCACAUUGGGACUGAGACACGGCCCAGACUCCUACGGGAGGCAGCAGUAGGGAAUCUUCCACAAUGGACGAAAGUCUGAUGGAGCAACGCCGCGUGAGUGAUGAAGGUUUUCGGAUCGUAAAACUCUGUUGUUAAAGAAAAACAAGUGUUAGAGUAACUGUUAACACUUUGACGGUAUUUAACCAGAAAGCCACGGCUAACUACGUGCCAGCAGCCGCGGUAAUACGUAGGUGGCAAGCGUUGUCCGGAUUUAUUGGGCGUAAAGCGAGCGCAGGCGGUUUUGUAAGUCUGCUGUGAAAGCCCUCAGCUUAACUGAGGAAGUGCAGUGGAAACUACAAAACUUGAGUACAGAAGAGGAAAGUGGAACUCCAUGUGUAGCGGUGAAAUGCGUAGAUAUAUGGAAGAACACCAGUGGCGAAGGCGGCUUUCUGGUCUGUUACUGACGCUGAGGCUCGAAAGCAUGGGUAGCGAACAGGAUUAGAUACCCUGGUAGUCCAUGCCGUAAACGAUGAAUACUAGGUGUUGGAGGGUUUCCGCCCUUCAGUGCCGCAGCUAACGCAUUAAGUAUUCCGCCUGGGGAGUACGACCGCAAGGUUGAAACUCAAAGGAAUUGACGGGGGCCCGCACAAGUGGUGGAGCAUGUGGUUUAAUUCGAUGCCUACGCGAAGAACCUUACCAGCUCUUGACCAUCCUUUCUGCCAGCCCAAGAGAUUUGGGGCGGUUCCCUUUUCGGUGGCACAGGAAAUUGACAGGUGGGUGGCAUUGGCUUGGUUCGGUCAGGCUCUCGCUGUCUCGUUGNANAAUUGNUNNAGGGUNUAAGGUUCNCCGUCAACCGAAAGCCGNCAACCCCNCUACUUNNUUUAUUUAUANUUUGNNCCAA
This 1168-nucleotide ribosomal RNA is filed under the name Apilactobacillus kunkeei. RNAcentral's name for it is "bacterial SSU rRNA". It matches the Rfam family "Bacterial small subunit ribosomal RNA", at positions 54 to 1095 of the family's 1533-position model. Lineage: Bacteria; Bacillati; Bacillota; Bacilli; Lactobacillales; Lactobacillaceae. The record is from RNAcentral.